Molecule: long non-coding RNA, 6668 nt
Organism: Corvus hawaiiensis (hawaiian crow)
Lineage: Eukaryota; Metazoa; Chordata; Aves; Passeriformes; Corvidae
Exons: 3
Source: RefSeq, a predicted model, not a curated record
UCCCAGGAUGAUUUUGCUGAAGGUGGGAAUGGAGUGAACUGCGCAGGAGGACAGUUCUGGAUGCCGACAAUCAGAUUGCUGAUCCUUGAAGCAUGCACAUGCAGCUGGCUUUUGCUUUCCCAGCUGAUCCUGCUGAAACUAGGGAAAAGCAGUGCUGGGUUAACAGUUGGACUCGAAGAUCUUCGAGGUCUUUUCCAACCUGAAGGAUUCUGGGAAUCUUUUGAGCUGAGGAGAGCGCCAGGAUCUGUUUUAACCCCCGCGGGCUGAUGUAGCCCUGGCUGUGGGGGGGGGAUGUGACACCCGUGUUCCAGGUGCCACAAGGAACUCCUGAUGCUGCCUUUCCCUGCCCUUCCCAAGCCUGUGGUGGCAGCACGUUUCCUGGGAUGCGAGGGAAUUUAUUUUGGAGGCGGAGAGGAGAGGAAAACGGACUUGUCAGGAAACUUGGCUGGAGUUGUUUGAGCGAGGCCGACUGGAAAACAGCUGUGCGUGCACUGAACAGAGACUGCACCCUGCACUGCCAGGGUGGGCUGGCAGGAAAGUCCUUUUGCUCCGUUUUUUUUUUUUUAAGAAAUAGAAAUACAAGACCUGAUUGGCAGCCUGGGAGGAGAAACCUGGGGCACCUGAGGGCCUGGACUGACAGGAGCAUCCCAAAACACUCCUCAGUCCCUUGAGGUCUCUGUUACCCCAAAAAGUGCCAGUCCUCGUGCAGCUGGUUCAGAACAAAACUGCAGAGCAGGUGUUGGAAGGGUCAGGUGAGUAGGUCAGAAGUGAGCUGCACUUAAAAACCCCUCCCCUUUGUUAGGGGUGUAUAAAUAAAGUGAUGUAAACCCAAACUGCCCGGCCACGCCGAGACCUUCGCUUUGCGAAGCCUUUGCCUUACUUUUGAUGUUAGAUGAACAUCUAGUGAGCUUAAUUAAAGUUUAAUUAGUGUAAGUAGGGUAAAUGUGGUAGGUCAGCAGGCACAGCAGAUGCUAAAAUACUGUCGGCAAUAAUCAACCUGACCAAAAAGAAAAAAAAAAAAAGGGAAAAAUUCCCUUGUUAAAAAAUAAAUGCCUCUAAGUGACUGGUUCAGACAAGUCAUCUCUCAGGGGUGGUUUUUUACUUUCUUUCCCCAGGCAAUACUGACCAAUUGAGAGCAAAUCCUGUUCCUUCACAUCGGUGAAAAAAGGAAAAAUCAGUUUUUGUCCCUCACUGUGCUCUGGAAUUUUGCCCCAAAUGCUUUUCUGGAGUCUGGGCAUAUGCCAUGGGGAGAUGUCUCACUGCUUUCUGCUCUUCUUUUCUCUCCAGUCGAGAGCCACACGGUGAGGGCUGUGGUUCCACAGCCCAGCCGAGUUUAUUAAGGAUCUGAAAGCCAUUUAUUAAGGGCUUUCAGUGAAAUUCAGCACUGCAUCACCAGCCUGGCUGCCUGUUGUUGCUUAGGAUGUCCUUCGCAGCUAUGGGUGAUGUUUCCUUGACUUUGAAAUGAAAUUUGGAUGUGACUUGGGUAUUUUGGCAUGCAGGUAUCUGUGUUUAUCUGUGGUGGUCUCUGUUUUUUGUCCUGCUGGGUGCUGGUGGCAGCACAGCCUGAGCCAUCGAGUUUUGUGGAUGAACCCUUGACCUGUUCUUGGAUGUGCUCUUGGAUCAGGAAUCCCACUCUGGCCACGAGGUUCUGGUAAGCCACAGCAUUUUGCAGUUGGCUCCAGCAAAGAUUCAGCUCGUUUCUUAUUUUUAUCUGUCUCGAUUGGAUCAUCCCUAAAAAUAAUCUGCAAUGCAAGAUACCGCAGUGCUGAAUUCCCCAGCUGAGCAAGGGGAACAUGUCGAGAGGCUUUCUUGGAUCAAAGGCCUCGGAGAGGAGCCAGAAGCGAAAGCCAGGCUAAAGUUCAGGAGCAUCCCUCGGAUGCAGAGGGUAGCAGCACACAGAAAGCUGCUGCUCUCGUGAGGCUUUCUUGGGCUUUGGGCUGUGCAGCAGCCAGGCUGCAGGGAAUGUGAAAUGCCUCCUCCCCGGGGAUCCUGUAAUGGCUGGGAAAGCGGAGACGAGCAGGAGGUAUUUAGGGCAAUGGUCUCAGACACAACAGGCUCAGGGUGUGCCCCCAGAAGCCGUGGGUCAGACAUGGGCUAGCAAUUCCAGUGGCCAGCAGAGCCUGCUCUUGGAGCCUGCUGGAGCUUCCGUGUGGAGCCCCCAGCAGCGAGCACUGCAGGCCUGGAAAAACACGCCAGCAAAAUCUGCCAACGAGGGGGAACGUGUGCUCCUGGUUGGUUCGAGAGGUCUCAGAUGGAGGGAAACUUCCCUUCCCAGAAGCACACGAGGAAAGGACGCCUCUCUGGGCUCCAUGGAGGUCCUCUCCAAGUUUAGUGUUCUGUGAUGGCAUGAGAUGGAGGCGUGAGGGGCCCUAAGGCCUUCUAAAGUGUCCUUGAACCCAAGCACAGUAAGCUCCCCUGUCAGCUGGAACUACGGGCAGAUGUCUGCGCUCACACAGCUGUUUCUGGGUGACCCUGCUGGACAAGGGACGCUGGGGAGGCGAUGAGCUGAUGUCUGGGACGCUGCAAGGCCUUGAAAGCAAAAUGCAGCACGGGAGAUGAGGCAGAGCCGCACUAACGCACAGGCUGCUCCUGGAUAAGCAGAGCUGCCUCCCCCCUCUGGGUCAGGGCUGCUGGGACCACCCAGCCCAGGGCUCCUGGAGAGCCACCCCUGCUGUUCUGCUCCGUGGGAGCUCCGCGUGGCCGCAGCAAUGCCUCCGCGGUGCAGGGCCAGGGCAGGACACAGGACACGGGACACGGCCCCUCCGUCAGGGCACUUGGCUCCAUUUCCUGCCCAGGCACCACCCUCUCUUUCCAUUUGGCUGAGGGAAUGUUUAAUUAUUAUUAUUAUUAUUGUUAUUUUUAAAUAGAGCAGUUUCGACAACGUGAACUAACGUGCCCUUGUGGGCACAUGGGCAAGCUGAGGCAUUUCCUGCCAACACAGACUCUUUUAUCACUGCUUAUUGGUGUCACCUGCCUCAAACCCUGACGGGGAGAGUGCUUUAUUUUCUUUUUUGUUUCUUUUUUAAUGAGCUGUUCAGUCCCCUGAUUUCUAGGUUUCCAAGAGACUUAAAGCAAAGCGAGACCUUUUAGGUCAAAUUAAACGUUUUGGGUCAAGAAAACUUUGUUUUUGAAAUCCAGCUAAGGAAUAUGAACUUUCAGUUUAGGAUUAGCCUAAACCAAUUUUUUGCAGGUGUUUUUUUUCUUCCUGUUUAUUUGUAGAAAUGAAAGGGAAAAGCUCUGCCCUGGAGUAGUGCAGCUCCCUUUCCUGGUGUUCCACCCGGGAUGAGCGUCCUGAGAAGGGAACGGAGCUGGGCAAGGCUCUGGAGCUCAAGGCACAGGACAAGAAGGAAUGGCUAGUGAGGUUUAGAGCAGAAAUUGGGAAUAAUCUCCCCACUGGAAGGUCAGUCAGGCAUUGGACCAGGCUGCCCAGGGCAAUGAUGGAGGCAUUUCCCUGGGAACAUUCAAAAGGCGUGUGGAUGUGGUGCUCAGGGGAAUGGUUUAGUGGUGUUGGAUUCAUGGAUGGACUUGGUGAUUUUGGAGGUCUUUCCCAACCUCAACGAUUCUGUGAUUCUUUUGGUUAAAAGGAAAUGGAAACACAAAUAAAAAAGGAUUAACCUGCUGUUUGCAAUGCUGGGCGUGCUCUGGUUUGGGGACAGCUUUCCCCUCCCCUCCCCAGAUGAAAACUCGAAUCCAUGCUUGCUGUAUUUUAGUUUUGCUCCAUUUUUACCCUAAAAAAAGUGUGUUAAUAAGCAUUUCUUUGCAGCUAGAGAGCCACUUCCAGAUGUGUUUAUCCCGAGUGUCCUCGUCCUGUGUGCCAUUUGGUCAUGCUGAGCUCGAGAGGGAGCUUGUCCUGGACCCCGCUCAGAGGAUGUUGCUGCAGGAGCCACUGCUCUGAGCAAAGCGCUGUGGAAACAUCCAGGAGACGUCUGUUCUCACCCUGAUCCCUGAAAUGUGUCCCUCAUAAACACAGCCAAAUGAUUCGGGUGCUUUGUCUGCGCAGAGCGGGGGGAGCUGCUGUGGGCACUUUGAGAGCUGGAGUGUCUUGUUUGGCAUGUCAGGUCUCAGCACUGGAGUGCACAAAGAGAGGGCUUUGCAUCUCGUCAUUUAUAAUUCAGCCCAAGAAAUGCACUAAUACUCUUAUCAGAAUGGGGAACGUCGCUCAAAGCACAAAAGCACGAGUCACCCAGGAACAGGCAGACAUUGAGGGCUGCUGCUCUCCCUGCCUCUGGAGUAACAGCCAAGAAUCAGGGAGAUUUUCUCCUAAACAAAUGUUUCGCUGUUGUGUGUGUGAAUAAAUACAAUUUCUCUCUCUCUCUCUUUUUUUUUUUAAGCAGGCCAAGGAAGGAAAGGAAAAGCUGAAGUGCCUGAGGUGCAGGGAAGCAUUUUGCUCUAUUCCCUCACUUUGCUAAGUGCCAGCUGUGUUUGCCCACUGCAGAGUAAGAGCAGGAGGGCUGAGGAUUCGGGAUGGGAGGAAUUUUGUCACAGCUGUCCCUGGUCAUGGGACCUCUGGUUCUGCUGGAGGUUUGGUGGCCAGGCAGUGAAAUCAGGGGGUUCAGGGAGAUAAGCCCACCCCAUCCAGGUGGGAAGGGGCUAGGGGCAACCCAGUCUAGUUGGAACCAGGUGAUCUUUAGGGUCCCUUCCAAUCCAUGGCAUUCAGUGUUCCUGUGGCAGGGAAGGAGGUGGUGGAGAAGCUUCUCUGUGAGCAGCACAGGAUGGUUUUGAGUGCCCCCUAAAGCGCUUCAGCUCAGAGUGAGAAAGAAAAAAGUCCCACUUGGGAAUGCUCAUGCAUUUGCCAGGGUUGCUGUGGCCACAGUAUGUCCUGGGGAGCAUGGCACCCGCCCACGGCUCAUUUAACAAGCCCUGGGUGGCAAAGAAAGCAGGAACUGCCCUUCAAAACCCCAUGAAAAGACCUUCUCCUGCAGUCUCCCGGUGCUGAUGAAGCCCAGCUUCACGGGCCACAGGGGAAGCCAUAAAGCUGCUGUCGUGAUCCCGGUGCUGGAGCCAAAGGCAGCUGGAAGGCUGUGGAGAGGCUCUCAGUGACUCCAGUGUGCUGUGAGCACCACUGGACACAGUCCCUCUGGAGGGGCUGCCAGACCACUGAGUGCUCCAUCCCUGCCCUCCAGACACCCUCUUCCUGGAGGAAAGUCGGCAACUUUGGGUUUAUUCCAUUUUCUCACCCGUGCCAAAGCCUCUUUAAUAUCAGGAUUUGCUCCGUGGCAAUUCCAGCGGGGGAAGAAAAGUUUGCUUCCAUUCCCCAGCGCUCGGUGGAAGCAGCUUCCGUCAGCGCUGCCUGUGCUCUCGGCGGUGCUGGAUAUGGCAGGUCUAUUUUUAGAAGCCAGGGUUGCCAUGGCAACCCAGUGUAUUUUUUUUCCCCCUGUUAAAUAUAGCAGCUGUUGCAGGGAACUCUUGUCCUCCUGGAUGUAAAGGCUGUGUUUUUGCCCUCUGACAGAGCUCAGGGUAUUAGAGGCAGACGAGAAAGGAUGAUUAAAUAAGCGGAAGCCCAGAAGAAACCGUGGAUCUGUAAUUACACGGAGGGGUUUGGGAUGCAGCCGUGCGUGUCUGCAGCUCCCGUGCUAAAAAUGGUGUGGGGACAGGGAUAGGGGAGCUUUUCCAUGUGGGGCUCCAUGAAACCACCCAGCCACCCUCUCUCAGCUGCAGGACUGUGUUGCAUCCCAAAGCAGUUACAUGCCCAAGCUUUGGGGUUCAGUGGGAAGCAAACUGACUCUGUUUAUUUUUUUUUAUUUUUAUAUUUUUUUUAACUUACUGGAUCCCUGUAAGAUGCAAACAUGUCCCAUCAAAGGGCUGGUUUCCAUCUCCUGGCAGGAGGGAGAAGGAGAGGGGUGGGGAGCACAACUGCUCAGGCCAAGGGCAGUCUGUCCGCUGGGAGAUGGAGGUCUUUUGUUUAAUUAACUAGUCCUUGCCUCAUUAAAUGAAGAAGGAAACCAGAGAACAGCACGACACGAGCGGGGCUUAGGAUCGCUGAAAGUUUCCUUAAAAAGUGGAUGCACCAACAAACAAACACAGAACCAAAUUUAAACCAGCUUGAGUUUAAAGUAUCUGCGGAGGUCACUGUGACCAAGGCUUUGAAUGGGAAUAACACAUCUCUGGGAGCCUUAUCUGCUCCCUGAGCUAUCGUGAGAGGCAUCUACUGCUGGGGAUGUUAUUGCUUUUCUGACUUUCAUAGCAGGAGCAGCGCUUCAGCAAGCAGAAAGCUGCAGGGGAAGAGCCGCCUCUGUGGCCGUCGGGGGCUGGAGCUCACCCCAGAACUGCUCCCUGCCUGUGUCCCGGCCCCUCAGCAGCCCUGCAGGGUGCUUUGGAGGGAUGGGGCAUUCCCCAGCGCUCCAGCAUCCUCUGGCCCAGGGCAUAAAUACGGGGCUCGUCCCUCGGGAAGCGCUGCCUGUCCUGAAGGAAGGCAAGGCUGCCACACCACAUUUGAAGAUUUCCUUGCCUCCCUCAGGGAGUGGGUUGUCAGGGGCUUCUGGCCCAGAAAAUGGAGCUUGCAGCUGGGAGGGAGGUUCAGGGCAAUCAUUUCAGAUGCUGCUUUGGUUUAAAUCCAGCACAGGGUGGAGGGAGGACGGUGGAGUGGGCACAGCUCCAAAAAUACAUGUUUGUACAUGGAAUGGUUUGGGUUGGAAGGGCCUUUAAAGACCAUCCAGUCCCACCCCCUG